This 110-nucleotide ribosomal RNA is filed under the name Rhodnius prolixus. The record is from RNAcentral. Lineage: Eukaryota; Metazoa; Arthropoda; Insecta; Hemiptera; Reduviidae.
GCCAACGGCCAUACCAUGUUGAAUACAUCGGUUCUCGUCCGAUCACUGAAGUUAAGCAACUUUGGGCUGGUUAGUGCCUGGAUGGGAUGAAAGCUCUAUAGCCGUUUAGA